RNAcentral lists this ribosomal RNA (555 nucleotides) under Triticum aestivum (bread wheat). RNAcentral's name for it is "partial small subunit ribosomal RNA". Lineage: Eukaryota; Viridiplantae; Streptophyta; Magnoliopsida; Poales; Poaceae. The record is from RNAcentral.
AUGAUUGUAGCUAACACCCUCUUUAGAAAGAGAGAAUCACAUCUGGUGACUUUUAGUAGUGGCCAACACUCUAGCCAGAUUGAUUUCAUCCUCUCGAGAAGAGAAGAUAGGCGUGUGUGCCUAGACUGUAAGGUGAUACCUAGACAGAGUGGUGUACCUCAGCAUAAGCUGGUGGUUGCUGACUACCGCUUUCGGAUUCGUGUCCAGCGAGAUAAGCGUGCCACAGUCGCUAGAACGAAGUGGUGGAAGCUCAAGGGGGAGGUAGCUCAGGCGUUCAAGGGAAGGGUCAUUAAGGAGGGCCCUUGGGAGGAAGAAGGGGAUGCGGACAAUGUGUGGAUGAAGAUGGCGACUUGCAUUCGUAAGGUGGCCUCGGAGGAGUUCGGAGUGUCCACGGGAAGGAGAAGCGAAGAUAAGGAUACCUGGUGGUGGAAUGAUGAUGUCCAGAAGGUGAUUAAAGAAAAGAAAGAUUGUUUCGGACACCUAUACCUGGAUAGGAGCAGACAACAUAGAGAAGUACAAGAUGGCGAAGAAGGCCGCAAAGCGAGCUGUCAGUGA